ACCUGGGUGGCUCAGUCGGUUAAGCAUCUGACUUCAGCUCAGGUCAUGAUCUCAAAGUUCAUGGGUUCGAGCCCCAUGUCAGGCU
RNAcentral lists this transfer RNA (85 nucleotides) under Felis catus (domestic cat). It matches the Rfam family "tRNA". From Rfam's summary of the family: Transfer RNA (tRNA) molecules are approximately 80 nucleotides in length. The record is from Rfam by way of RNAcentral. RNAcentral also lists the same sequence under 4 other names. Lineage: Eukaryota; Metazoa; Chordata; Mammalia; Carnivora; Felidae.